AGAGUUUGAUCCUGGCUCAGGACGAACGCUGGCGGCGUGCCUAAUACAUGCAAGUGGAACGCUGAAGAGAGGAGCUUGCUCUUCUUGGAUGAGUUGCGAACGGGUGAGUAACGCGUAGGUAACCUGCCUUGUAGCGGGUGAUAACUAUUGGAAACGAUAGCUAAUACCGCAUAACAAUGGAUGACACAUGUCAUUUAUUUGAAAGGGGCAAUUGCUCCACUACAAGAUGGACCUGCGUUGUAUUAGCUAGUAGGUGAGGUAACGGCUCACCUAGGCGACGAUACAUAGCCGACCUGAGAGGGUGAUCGGCCACACUGGGACUGAGACACGGCCCAGACUCCUACGGGAGGCAGCAGUAGGGAAUCUUCGGCAAUGGGGGCAACCCUGACCGAGCAACGCCGCGUGAGUGAAGAAGGUUUUCGGAUCGUAAAGCUCUGUUGUAAGUCAAGAACGAGUGUGAGAGUGGAAAGUUCACACUGUGACGGUAGCUUACCAGAAAGGGACGGCUAACUACGUGCCAGCAGCCGCGGUAAUACGUAGGUCCCGAGCGUUGUCCGGAUUUAUUGGGCGUAAAGCGAGCGCAGGCGGUUUGAUAAGUCUGAAGUUAAAGGCUGUGGCUCAACCAUAGUUCGCUUUGGAAACUGUCAAACUUGAGUGCAGAAGGGGAGAGUGGAAUUCCAUGUGUAGCGGUGAAAUGCGUAGAUAUAUGGAGGAACACCGGUGGCGAAAGCGGCUCUCUGGUCUGUAACUGACGCUGAGGCUCGAAAGCGUGGGGAGCGAACAGGAUUAGAUACCCUGGUAGUCCACGCCGUAAACGAUGAGUGCUAGGUGUUGGAUCCUUUCCGGGAUUCAGUGCCGCAGCUAACGCAUUAAGCACUCCGCCUGGGGAGUACGACCGCAAGGUUGAAACUCAAAGGAAUUGACGGGGGCCCGCACAAGCAGUGGAGUAUGUGGUUUAAUUCGACGCAACGCGAAGAACCUUACCAAGUCUUGACAUCCUGCGACGAUGCUGGAAACAGUAUUUUCCUUCGGGACGCAGAGACAGGUGGUGCAUGGUUGUCGUCAGCUCGUGUCGUGAGAUGUUGGGUCAAGUCCCGCAACGAGCGCAACCCUUACUGUCAGUUACUACGCAAGAGGACUCUGGCAGGACUGCCGUUGACAAAACGGAGGAAGGUGGGGAUGACGUCAAAUCAUCAUGCCCUUUAUGACUUGGGCUACACACGUACUACAAUGGCGUUAAACAAAGAGAAGCAAGACCGCGAGGUGGAGCAAAACUCAGAAACAACGUCCCAGUUCGGACUGCAGGCUGCAACUCGCCUGCACGAAGUCGGAAUUGCUAGUAAUCGUGGAUCAGCAUGCCACGGUGAAUACGUUCCCGGGCCUUGUACACACCGCCCGUCA
This 1401-nucleotide ribosomal RNA is filed under the name uncultured bacterium. Its description in RNAcentral is "partial 16S ribosomal RNA". It matches the Rfam family "Bacterial small subunit ribosomal RNA". The record is from RNAcentral.